RNAcentral lists this ribosomal RNA (253 nucleotides) under uncultured bacterium. RNAcentral's name for it is "partial 16S ribosomal RNA". It matches the Rfam family "Bacterial small subunit ribosomal RNA", at positions 524 to 776 of the family's 1533-position model. The record is from RNAcentral.
UACGAGUGCCUCAAGCGUUAUCCGGAAUUAUUGGGCGUAAAGGUUGUGUAGGUGGUUGUAUUAGUCUUCUGUUAAAUUCUUCGGCUUAACCGGGGGCAUGCAGGGGAAACGGUCCAACUCGAGGAUGCGAGGGGUCUGCGGAACUCAUAGUGUAGCGGUGAAAUGCGUUGAUAUUAUGGGGAACACCAAAAGCGAAGGCAGCAGACUGGAGCACUCCUGACACUGAAACAAGAAAGCGUGGGUCGCGAAUGGG